This is a long non-coding RNA of Cornus florida, 13406 nucleotides long. RefSeq lists it as uncharacterized. The record is from RefSeq and is a predicted model, not a curated record. The transcript has 7 exons. NCBI's taxonomy places the organism in Eukaryota, Viridiplantae, Streptophyta, Magnoliopsida, Cornales, Cornaceae.
UGUAGAAUAGGGUUAAGGGUUUUUUUUGUAAAAUUUCAUUUUCCAGGCACUUGUUUUCCACAGGCGGCGCUAAAAAAAAUUCAUUUCUCCUCCCAAACUUCGUACGCAUCAAUCAACCAAAACAGCCCUCUCUCUCUCUCUCUCUCUCUCUCUCUCUCGAAUCCAUACGAAACCCUAACCCUCUCUAAAUCCAAGCAUGAAUUUUACUGGAGCUUCGUCUUUCGCGAAUUUCACCUUUAGAGGAAAAUUGCCCAGACCUUAUAUGCAUCAGAUCUGUUUCAUAAGUCCGUCUGAUUUGGGGAAUGAAGUUUGGAGAAAAUACAAUUAAAGUCAUUAUCAGGAAUAAAGGCUAUGCAUUCUUGAAUAUGAUAGGACCACAACACUGUUGUUCAACUUAUGGCAAGGUGAUGGAUCGAAGUUGGAUUCAGAUUAAAGAAUGGAAUGGCCCUGCUGGCCUGUGCUGAGGAUCCUAUUAUUAAAUUUGAAACUGCCGAGCUGGUAGCAUUGAGAUGUCAGAGGCAUAAAAAAUCUUGCGUUCCUCUCAGGUUCUGUACUUCACCCUUGAAGCCGCAACCAUUUUUUACAAAUUAAAGAUUUGAAAAUCUUCCAGAUCUGUUUUUUCGUUAAGAGCUGCUUACAAUUGCAUAUAUAAUUUAAAAUUUAUAUAUAGUUUUCAACACUAAUAUGAUGCAAUUAGGAUAAAUUUCAACUUUCGAAAGAUAUUGUCUUUUGAAACAGACUGAAGUUCAGAAUGAAGCGUUGGAAAAUUUUGCUUAGCCAUACCACAUUAAGGAUAGUAAUUUGGUCAUGAGAAAUGAUAUGAAUGUCACUAAUUUACUAGUGUGAACCUUUGUUUACAUAUGGCUUUUGUUUCUUUUUGGUGUUUAGAUAUAUGCACAUUGUAACUUAUUAAUAUUUUCAAUAAAUUUUAUGGCACCUUAAUACAUGAUCUGUUGUUGAUAUUAUUAUCUUACAUUUGUCUUUAUUAAGUGCAAACAUGGAAUUGCGUCUUUUCGCAAGUUUCGUAUCUCAAUCGCAGUGGAAUACAUAAUGUAUUUGCGUGCUUUUUUUUUUUUUUGCAAAUUUUAUCAACUGAUUUUUGAGUUUUUCUCACACCUGUUUUCUGUUAUGGGCUAUGUGCAAUGCACUUUUGCCUUCAAAAGUAGAAAUGUUCUCUAUUCUUGGGAUGCUUAAUUCUUCCUUCAUUCAUUUGAGUUUAAGUUUCAUUCUUUGUGAUGAAUUGAUUUUCUGUAAUGGAUAUAUCCAUAGAGCUGUGCCUUCAAAAGCUAUAGAAUAAAAAAUGCAAUGUUGAAUGCAUUUGAAAUGAGUUUGCUUGUUUCUUUGCUAUAGGCGAUAACCCUUUGAAUUUUAUCAAGUGACUAUGUUUUGAUCAUUUGCAUUUCUAGUGAUGCAUUUUUUAUUUUCUGGAAUAUUUCUAGUGGUGCAUUGAUUUUUGUAUGUCACAUGGAAUUAUGCUUUCAAAUUUUGUAGAAUAAAGAAUGAAACGGUUAUAGUUCCGGUCUCUUUGCAUUGUUUGUUGCAUGAAAUUUUUUGUGUUUCUUAACCAUUCUCCAACUAGAGUUCACAUUGCCUUGUUCAUUUUCAGAUUCUUUUACGUACACAUAUAUAUAUUUUUAUUGCUAUUUUAAGUAUAAAGAGUUUGAUGCUUUCAUAAUUGGUAUUUUGUACUUUGCAUAGCUGUGACGGCCCUGGUUUUUCAAGCCAGUUCGUCCUGUGAUGAACCGUAGUUUGACCCAAUAACGGAUCUGAAAUGCGGAAGCGAAAAUAGAAAAUAAGACUCUAAGAAGUCAAAGUGACCUUCCAUGAGGUCGUGGAACUCAAUAAGAACUGAUGCGGAAGCAAAAGACCAAAAAUAUGACAAAUAAGCCUCCAGGGGUAAAAUAGUCAUUUCUGAAAACUGUGGACUAGGGUGCCACUGAGCACACCGCUGGAAGGACAACGAAAAACUAAUCAAGAUGGACUCAAGAAUCGCAUGAUUCGGAGUCCGGACGAAGGAGAAACGGCAUGACGAAGAAAAACGAGUACUUAAGGCAAAAGGGUAAACUGGUAAUUAUCUAAGAAGAUUCGGGUGCAACCAAGCACACCGUUGGAAAGACAGUGAAAAAUUAGUCAAAUUCAAAAAAAAGUUCAUUCGAUUUGGAGUCCGGACGAGGGAGAAACGAGUGCUUGAAGUUGAGACGUCGCGGCGGCCCGACGAAGGCCAUGGCAGCCCCAUGCGUGCCCGGCGCCCAUGCCGGCACGCGCGCCGGCACCCAAUGGCAUGACCAUGCUGACAGCAAGGGUCCAAAGCAAGUUUUCCAGAACUGAGACUUCAAACGGAAGCCGAAACGAACUUUUCUGGAAAAACACGAAGAAGAAACUCCCCCUAAAAUCGAGUUUUCUACCCGACUUCACAGAAGGAAACGAAAAAAACUCACUGCAAAAUCCCCAAAAUGCCCCUAGAUCAGAACGGGUCAAGAGGGGCAAAAAGCUGCUAAAAUGCAAAUUGGAAGCUGAAACUUCAUGAGGGAUUUCCAGUACUAAGACGACAUUUUCUGGAAAAACACGAAGAAGAAACCCCCUCUAAAAUCAUGUGAAGACCGGAAUUUAUUUCCCUAAGGAAAAUCCCAAAAUGCCCUUAAAACAGAUUAUGCAAUAAAAUUUCAAAAUGAGUCCAUAAGAGGCUCAUUUCACCAAAGAAGAAGGUUUUCCCUGAAAUGACCAUGCACGCAAAUGUAACUUACCUAUUAGGACGUGCUACAAUGGUCCAUGGCUUAAAAAUACCACCGAUGCAAAAUUCGACCCCUCAACGGGCAAAAAGGCAAAAAUAAACAAGAAAAGGGAAAUUUAAAAACCAAAAUUAACAAUGAUUUCAAAUUACCGUUUGGCUCUUGGCCACACUUCAAACAUGAUUUAUAAGACCUUAUGAAAGAAUAAAAAUGGAAUUUCCACACCCGAUGCAAGCAUAAUGAAGCAAUGACUCGGCAUUUUUCAAUAUUUUCAUAAUAUUUCAUGAAGUUAAAAGUUACAUAGGAUACAAAUUAGAUGUCAGUGGCCUAUGGCCUUUCAUACAUGUCAAAUACAUUAUAAAGAGUGUACUUAUGUACACAUUACAAAAUAGAAUCAAAUUUACACAUUUUAACAUAUAAAGCUAUAAAUGGCAUUUUAAGCCAACAUUUACAAGAAAUGAGAAUUUCAAGUCUACAAAUCAUCUAAGCAAGAUGUGAAUCCCAAAUCUUGAUCCCGAUACCUGAAAAAUGUCCCUACUACGUGGGUGAGUAACAUAAAGCUACUCGUAGGAGAUGAACAUGCAUCGACCUAACAUUUUACAAUUAUAUCACCUUAAGGUGAAACAUGUUAAAGGGGCUCAUGCCACCUAACGUCUAUGUCAAAGUGAGAUUCAGGGAUCAUCCUAAGCUACUCAUGUAAUAUAAAGUGAACAACGGCAUACAAAUAUACAUGCUCAAGUAUACUAAGCAAUAUUAAAAUAUGUUAUACAACAUACAAGCAUAUAUUUUCCAAGUAUACUAAACCAUAUUAAAACAUGAUACACGAUAUUCAAGUACAUAUGCUCACAAGUAUACUAAAUCAUGUUAAACGGGAUAAGCAAUAUCUAGCAUACAUACACAAGUAUAAGAUAUAUGUACAGAGUACUCAUAAAUCAAGUAUACAAACACAAGUAAACAAACACAAGUAUAUUAAGCUAAACACGUACACAAAAGACAAAUAUACAUGGCACAAGUAUACUAAAAUGAAAUCCGCACACAAAAGAAUACAUACACAAGUAUAAGAUAUAUGUACAGAGUACUCAUAAAUCAAGUAUACAAAUACAAGUAUACUAAGCUAAACACGUACACACAAGACAAAUAUACAUGGCACAAGUAUACUAAAAUGAAAUCCGCACACAAAAGAUAAGCAUACUAAGCGUAAGUACACUAGAUAGAGUUUAGAUACACCAACAAGGAUACAAGUUCAAGUAUACAGUUUCAAGUAUACUAAAUGAGAUCAAAAUACAUAAGCAAACACCAAUUCUUAAGUUACAAGUAAUCCAUGAUUAACAACUUGAAAUUGAAUGCGAAAACAAAGUAGAAAGACUAGGACAUGUGGUCACUAGACCAAGCAAGUGUUUCCGGGUAAUUACGACCCACAAGGCACUACCUAGUGCGCACAUGCAUAAGUUAUUUCAGGCAAUUAUGACCCACAAGGUACUACCUAGUGCGUACUUAUGACUUAGAAGACUCUUAUCUCCGUACUAGAGCCAAACCUUAGCCAUCACGUGAAAUAUGUCUUUACAAGCUUUUCAAAAACAAUAAGUUCAAAACUUAUGCAAAAUCAAUAAGUUAAACUAAACUUAUACAUCUCAAAUAAUAUCUAGGAAUCAAUUUACAUGCACAAGUAAGGUUGAAUCCACACAAACCAAGUCCUAGAGUUCAAGUCUAGAUAGCAUAUGACAUGUCAAGUCUCCAAUAUGCAAUUUAUACACCAAAAUAAGAAUAUUUUACAACAAUUGAGCCACAUUACUACACUAAGCCACAAGUACUAAAUAAGUCCCAAUUUAGUAAUUAGCUUCUAAGGUAAACAAUUCUAAUAUUCUAACAAGCUAUAUACCUACACAAGAUAUAUCUAAACAAGUUAUGCAAGACAAUGAUAUCACAUAUCAUGCUAAAUCAAAUCACCAUCUUUAGAGCCCACAAGUACUAAUUCCACAACAAGUUAGUAAUAUACUCAUAAGGUAAUUAAACGGACUACAUUUCAAGGAAUUAUUAACCUAUAACAUUCAAUAUCAAUUUAAGGGACUAACACGCUUAAAAUAAAAUUAAUUAAGCUAAUUAAUUAAUUUUUCACUAGAUUUUCAAACAUAUCCAAAUAUCCUCAAUUUAAUAUAUGUUAAAGAACUCACCAUGGCCUACUUAAAUAUCAUAUUACAAGUUGAUUUCAUGCUUGAUAUAAUUAUGUGAAUUAAUCUUUUACAAAAGAUAAAUAUUAAAUAAGUUUUGCAAUUCUUAUUCAAAUGUCCCAAAUUUAAUAUAUGUUACACAACUCACCAAGGCCUAAUUUACUAGCAUGCCACAAUUUAAUUCUAAACUAUAUAUCAUCAUUAGAAUUAAAUCCUAAACAAAGAAAAUAAAUAAAUUAAAUUCUAAAAACUUGAACAAGGCAUGCUCACAAGUUGUAUAUGUUUAUAAAACAAUCAAUACAACAAUAAUAUAAACCUAAGACAUCCCCUACCUCAAAAGAUGAAAAUCUCAAAAGCCCACCGAAAAAAAAGUGUUCCGAAUCCGACGAUACCGAAGGGUUUUGUCGGGGACAACACGAUCUACAUGAACCCACAAGAAGCCCCAUCAAAAUCACAACUUGACUUCAAACCCGAACUUAAAAUUUGGCCAAAAAGGGGCUCUAAUAAGGGGGAAAGAUUCGCGUGGUCAAGACAAACACAAAACGCGAAGACACUUCGACUUUUUAACAAAGGGAAGAAGGUUCAAAUGAAAGAACAAGGGUGGCAGCUCCCUUGGGCUGCCAUAGCAGGUUCUGGUCGUGUAUGGAGAGGGGAGAAGAUAACUUUUUAAUUUUGAGUCCCCCUAUUUAUAGAAAAUCUCAAAAAAUGCCUUGAACGGGCCCCGCCUGGUCCGAAAAAGUGAAAUUUGAGUAGACGCGCUCAAAUGGAAAAACUCUGUGAACGAAAAAGAUUCAAAAUGAGAAAAUAUGAACAAUGGAAGAAACGACGUCAAAAACUGAGUCCCGAGCAGAGAGUUAUGACCCGAGCAAGUUCGGCAGCAAUUAGGGCCAGAAACCCUGAAACUGGAGAAAAAUGACCAGAAGGAAAUUCUAUGAGUACACGACUCGACGAAAUGUGAAAAUGAAUCCCAUACGAGGAUCCAGGCUCCAGACGAGGUAUUUUGCAAUAACUUUCGUUAAUUGCACAAUGGCCCCUCCAAAAAGUAAAAACUGUAUAACUGCCCCAGAAUGAAAAUAUCUUUCAAAAAUAUUUUUUUAAAAACCCCUAAAACAAAAUAUUUUCAAAAGAUAUUUACGAAAAACAUCCCAAGAAAAGAAAAAGAUUCUGAAAAAUUGUGCAUCCAUGCCCCUAUGGACACUGGGAGCAACCAGAGUACUUUACUGCAAAAGUAAGGAUACGUAUUUCGUGGAAACCACUUAGAAUGAAGAUACGUGAAGUUAAAAACCAACUCCGAACACAAGGAGUGAGGUUAUGCCAACCAAGUGACAAACAGGGAAAAGACAAAAUAGGAAAAAGGAUAAAAUAGGGAAAAGGAUGAAAAGUGAAUAGUGUCGAAAAACGAAAAAUGUAGAAAUGACUCGAUCCUCAAAGGAAGUUGUCAAUCCAAAGGAAAGAGUCUCAGAAACCAUUUCCGAGCACUCUAGAUGACACUAAGCGACGAGAAACUGAACUCAGAAAAGAAAUUUCAAUGAAAAAAAUUCAUCCGUGAAAUUCUGAGAAAAAAGAAAAGGAAGGAAAUGACCGGGUCAUUACAAUAGCCACAUCGAUUCACUGGUUUCUUUGGCAAUUUUCAAUGUAGAUAGCUUCGCUAAUUUAUUCAUCUCUUAUGUACUUUUGAAAUGUCAACAGUCCAUUGGUGCCUUCAUUGCUGUGUCAAGGCAUGUAAGUGCAACUCCUUUGCCACCUUCUAUUCUCAGUCGCAGUGUUGGUUGGCAGGUAAAAUUGACUUAGUGAUAAUUUUGUCUGUAUUUUUGCCUUCAUUAACACCUCAAUGCUAAGCCUAAAAGACUCUAGAUAUGGCACAAUUUUCCACACUCAAUUUUUACAUGGGCUGCUUCCAAAAUGAAUAAUUAGAAUUAAUGGCCUACUCAAUAUUGUUGAACCUCCCCUCAACUAAAAAGAAUGGUUCACUCGUAAUUUAACUAAAAUUUUCAUCUGACAUAGUAGUGGCAUUUAGCUAAAAAGAUGGCUCUUUGUCUUGAAAUGAUGGGAAACUAAUCUGCCAUGUCACUUUGAAUGCAAUUCUUUUGGUCAUGAAUUCUGUUCAUAAAAUACUUCUCCAAAUUUGACUCUGUAAUUUUUAAUGUCCUGUGUGUUCUAAUCAUCUUAAUUCUGUUCUUUAUCGAAGGGAGUCUGCAUAUUGUUCUCUGGAAUAUUUGGAACCGGGAAUGGAUCCUCAGUAUCAGUUGAAAAUGCUGGUUUGUUAGCAUUGACAUGUGUUGGCAGCCGAAGUGUUGUGCAUAUUUGCUGGUUUCAUGAUUUUCUUUUCCAUACUUGGGAAAUUCGAAGCUGUCUUUGCCUCAAUCCCAGCACCAACCAUUUCAGCUCUGUAUUGCCUUUUCUUUGCCUACGUGGGUAUGUGUUACCAAAUGAAGAAGUCCCUAUUUUAUUCUAAUUUUUCUUCUCAAAUCAUGAAGCAGUUCAAGUUCAAUAAUUUUUCUUGAAUUUGUGUUCAUAGUAGUCGAUCCUUGAAGUUUCUCUUCUUUUUUUUUUUUUUUUUUUCAUUCCCGAAUUUGCGUUUCAUUUAACGAUUCUACGCGUAAUUUGAAUAUCUACAUUCUUGAUGAUUCAUAGCAGUCAAUUCUUGAAAGAAACUGUAGAAAUAUUUUUUGAUUAAAAUUGUAUGAUAAUGUUGACCUUUUAUGUAUCCUUUAGGUUUUGGAAAGAUCAAAUUAAGUGUAGUAGUUAUGCUUUUAAUUUCAAAGUUACACAUUCAAGUUUGUUGCUUUCUUUUUGCUUCAUGGUUUUAGUUUGAUUAUGUGUUUGAUUGGACCACUUUGAAAUAUCAGCAAUCUCAGCUUGCCAAUCCUCCUUCCCGUCCUCUUGUAUGUGUUUGUAUAAUUAUAUGUGAUCUCAAUUAAUCCUAUUGAUAUGAAUAACUUGUUAAUAAUUUACAAUUAUUUUGAUGAAUUUGUGCUUAAAUAUCUGAUUUCUUAAUUGAUUCAUAGUAGUGAACUGUGUUAUCUAGGAUCAUAGUAAAUUAAUUCAUAGAUCUGUGUAUGCCCUGAUUUAUUUAUUUUUAAUAUAUUUUUUCUUUCCUGAGUUCUUUAGUGAGAGUUUCGGCUAAAAUUUUCUUCUUUGUUUUCAAUUAUGUUUAGCUGCCUGGAGUCUUGCCUUGAAUGCUUUGAAGGGAACUUUGUAAUCUUUAAUGAAUAAAAAAAUAAAUUUGGGAUCUAUUUGUUUGUGAUUAGUGGGAUGUAGAUCUAAAUUUUCAUUUUUGUAUGACUUGAACUCUUUUUCAUCUUGUAUCAUAUUGUUUGUAUAAUGCUUGUUGUUGAUAUAUAUACCUUUGGCUGGAUUUAUUGUUUUGUUUAGUUGUAUUGAUUUUGUGUUGGGGGCAAUGUAAGGCAACCAUUGAAUUUUUUUUUUUUUGUUUAAAUUGCUUUCUACAAGGGGCGUAGACCGUCGUAGAAAGCAAUAUUUCUACAACAGGCACUGCCUGUCAUAGAAAGCCAUCUUUUUACAAUGGGCUAGAACCGUCGUAGAAGACCCUAAGUCAACUAAAAAAUAGAACCCAAGUUUCUAGAGAUACAAUAUGUCUCUAAGAAACCAAAGUGACCUUCCAAGAGGCAAUGAAAUUCAACAAGAACUAACGCAGGAGAAAAAGAUAAAAAAUAGACCAAGUAUGCCUCCAAGGGCAAAAUAGUCUUUUCACACAAAAUGAAAGUCUGGAGAGAUGUACGCCAUCCCUAAGACACGAAAGUGGCUUCCAGAGGAGUCUCGAGACUCGAAGGAAGCAAGAAGGGAACAAGGUCUUCAAAACCCUACAAGAAAUGGAUCAAGGGUAAAAUGGUCAUUUUACCCAGGAAUGGGUGCUGCCGUGCACACCAUUAGAAAGACAACGAAAAAUUAAUUAAGAUGGAUUCCAGAAUUACAUGAUUCGGAGUCUGAACGAAGGAGAAAAGGCAAGACGAAGAAAAACGAGCACUUAAGGCUAAAAGGGUAAACUGGUAAUUAUUCAUAAAUAUCUGGGUGCAACUGAGCACACCGUUGGAUAGACAAUGAAAAAUUAGUCAAGUUUAAAAAAAAGUUCACUCAAUUUGGAGUCUGGAUGAUAAAGUUAUGAUCAAAUGAAGAAAAAGGAUCAAAAGAUACAAAUCAGGACCAUCUAAUCAAUUAGAUGCCAAAACAGAAUGCUGGAAAUCCCACUGAAGAUCAUCUAAUCGAUUAGAUGGCUCAUCUAAUCGAUUAGAUGAGGCUAAUAGCAAGUAAACACAAAGGAGAAACCUACUCCUAAAAUUACAUUUUCUAUAUAACCUUAUCAACAGAAGUUUUUAUUUUUCAAGUGAAAUAUCCAAAAUACCAUUAUACUCGAUUUAUCAUCUAAUCAAUUAGAUGAGGCUGAUAGCAAGUAAACACAAAAAAGAAAAUGAUCAUGUCAAGGGAAGUUUUUAUUUUUCAAGUGAAAUAUCUAAAAUACCCUUAUACUCAAUUUAUGCGAAAAAAAAAAAAAAAUGUAAAAUGAGUCCAUGGGAGGCUGAAAUCACCAAGGAAGAGGUUUUUCUUAAAAACGAUCAUGCACGUAAACGUAACUUACCUAUUAGGACGUGCUACAAUGGUCCAUGACUUAAAAAUAUUGCCGAUGUAAAAUUCGACCUCCCAAUGGCAAAAAAUGCGAAAAUGAACUUGAAAUAGAAAUUUUGAAAUCCAAAAUUAUGAAAUGGUUUCAAAUUACCGUUUGAGCAUUGGCCACACUUCAUACAUGAUUAAUGAGACCCUAUGAAAGAAUGAAAAUGGAAUUCCCACAGCCGAUGCAACUAUGGUGAAACAAUAACUCAACAUUUUUCAAUAUUUUCAUAAUAUUUUAUAAAGUCAAAAAAAUUACAUAGGAUACAAAAUACAUGUGAUUGGCCUCCGACCUCGUCUCAUACAUAUUAAAUACAUUGUAAAGAGUGUAUUUAUAUACACAUUAUAUGUUUAGAAUCGAAUAUACACAUUUUGACAUAAAAGGUUACAAGUUGCAUUUCAAGCCAACCUUUAUAAGAGUCAUGAACAAUAAUACACUUAAAGAACUUCAAUUCAUCAAAACGAUCCAGGGAUAUUGUGCAUCCCAAACCAAGGCAUCCGUACCUGGAAAAUCAUUCGGUAACUUUGGGGUGAGUAAACAAGUUUACUCGUAGGGAAUGAGUAUGCAUAGACUCAACUUUUUACAGAUUUUUACAUUAACAUGAAACAAUUCAAAAGGAUCAUGCCACCUAACGUCUAUGUCAAAGUGAGACUUAGGGAUCAUCCUAAGCUACCAUAGCUCAUUUCUAGUAUAAGUCACAUCAUUCAUGCAACAUAGAAGCAUGUUAUACGAAGCAACAAGGUAUAGAUGCUCAAAGCCAUCAACUUGAAAUCUAAAAUACGAAAAUAACUAAAGUGGGUCAUGUCACCUAACGUCUAUAUUCCAAAUGAAUUUAUAGGAUCAUUCCUAAGUUACAUUUGAACAUUUAAAAUACAAUUCACCAUAUCGAUGCAACUUAACAAACAUUGGAACUUCCAAUACAGCACAUAAAGCACAAAUCCUCAAAGUUAACAUCUUGAAACUUAAAAUGGGAAAUCAAAUAAGGAACAACAAGUUACAACAUCUUUUAGUUAUCAACUUGGAAUUGAAAUGCGAAAUCAAACUAGGUGGAUACUUGGACAUCACGCCGGAUCAGACCGACACCAGAGUUACUUUAAGGUUACUAGCCCACGGAUAACCACCUUAUGUGCGCACUAGACUAUAGGAGGACAUUCCCCCGUACUAGAACCAUGUCCUAGUCGUAGCCAAAUAACGACAUCCCAAGUUUCCAAAAUCAACAAGUUGUGCAACAACGUAUAUAUCAACAUGUAUAUACAAGAUAAUCAACUAUCAAUCAUACACAACUAAAUUUGGAAACACAUACAAUACAUACUCUAAGUCCACCACUACUAUGGCAUGAAAGAUGUCAAAAACAAAGUAUGUAACUCAUUACACAAGACAACAAUAUAUUCCAUAAAGAAAACAUGUUCUUAUAAAUAUAAAUAUAACAAUAAUGUUAUUUAAUGCUCAAAGCGUAACCAAGUGAGUAUACAACAAGUCCAAGUUUAUAAUUUAAACAUAGAAACAACUUCUAAAACAUAAUUAAAUCCAUGAAGUAAUUAGAUAGAAUUUAAUUAAAUAAAAAUAAUUAAAUUCUCUAGAUUUUAAAUCAAUUCUAAAUAACCUCAAAUUAAUAUAUGUAAAACAAUAUAGCAUGGUCAUUACAUAUAUCAAAUCAAAAGUGCAAAAUGAGUAAGACAUCAUCAUGUAGAAUUUAAUUAAUUUAAAUUAAUUAAAUCUCUAAUUUUCAAAAGUUGUUCAAAUGAUCCCAAAUUCAUAUAUAACAAGAACUAAGUCAUGGCCAUGCCAUAUAUCAAGUCAAAAAUGGAAUACAAGUAAGGUACCAUUAAGUAGAAUUUUAAAUCAAAUUAAAUUCAUUAAAUCUGUAGAUUUGAAAACUCAUUCAAAUGAUUUCAAAUAAUUAUAUGACAAAGAUCAAGUCAAGGCCAUGCCAUAUACCAAGUCUAAAGUGAGUUACAAGUAAGGCAUAAUUAAUCAUUAAUUUUUCAAAUUAAUAUAAAACAUGCAUAUAACUUGUAUUUCACUACAAAAGUAAAUAAAACCCUUAGAUAAAUAAACUAGAACACCCCCUACCUCACAAGAGGAUUGUUUCUCUUGAAUUCAAGGCAAAUCAAUACAAAAUGGCAAACCCUUCAAAGGUUAUGUAGAGGAGGAUGAGGGGAAUAAAAAGUAUUCUAAACUUUAUGGUCUAAGGUGGAUGGAAGGAGGCCAAAAAUGAAGUCAAAACCUUGAGUCAAGCUUUUCUUUCCAUGGAGGCUAAGUUAGGGUUUGAGAACAAAGUGGUGAGGAAGAUGAAUUAAAAUGUGGUGAGUGGAGGAUUUAGCAUUCCUCCACUCACUAUGUGAGUCUACACCAUGGUCUUCACACUCGCAUAGUGCAAAACCUACAAUGAACCUUACACUUGUUAUUAAUCUAAGGCUCCUUCCUACACUAAAUCCCUAGCCUACACUUGUCAUCCAUCCAAGCCAACAAAUGGUCCAAUCCUAGGUCAACAAAUGGGUGAAUCUCCACCCUCCAUGUGUCAAGAGAUUAAGCUGCUAAGUGGUUCCACUAAAAUGUCAACAAGUGGUUCCAUACGAGUGUGACACUUGUCAAACUUUUCAAAAAUUGCAAAAAGGUCUUUUUUCAAAAUAUCUUCUAAAUUAAAUUACAAAAUGGUCCCUAAGACGAAAAAUAAUUACUUUAUUUAAUUACACUUAAACCCCAUAAGUUAAGAAUAUUACAAAAAGGUUAUGCAUCCAUACCCUUUAUAAGAAAAGUAAAUACUUAGCAUGCUUUUAUAAGAAAGUAAAAAUACAUAUAGCAUGAAAUUUAAAUAUUGUGCAUGUAUGCAAAACCAGAAUCAAAUCUGAACACGAAAAGUGAGGUUGUACCAACAAAGUGACAAACAGGAAAAAGACGAAAAGUGAAUAGUGUCCAAAAAGUGAAAAUGUGAAAAUAACUCGGUCCUUAAGAAAAGUUGUUAAUUCAAAGGAAAGAGUCUCAGAAGUCAUUUCUGAGAACUCUAGAUGACACAAAGUGACGAAAAAUCGAAUACAGAAAAGAAAUAACAGCAGAAAAAAUUUAUCUGUAAAAUUUGAAGAAAAAGGAAAGGAAGGAAAAUAACCAGGUCAUUACAGGAACUGAAGUUGUUGAAUUGAAGUUUUUUAGUAACACCUUGAGGAGCUUGUAGUAAGCUUAGAAACAAUAAAAUUUAAUUUUGUGGAUUUCAAGGAGCUGAACAAGUAAUUGAUGCAAAAGAAAAUAUGGGUUAGUUAUUGCUUAAUUCUCAACUCUCCAUAUAUAUGUUAUCUCUUGUACAUAUAUAAUAAAAAAAAUUAAAAUUAACAUUAAUAUUUUAUUUUUUAUUUUAUGUUUAAUCUUGCUAAAUGCUUUGGGAAUUGUUAUUGAGGUAUCUCCUUCAUUGAACAUAUGUAAGAACAACAACAAAGGCACAACCAAAAAGCGGGAAGUUAUUAUAAUGGAUAUGAGUUCAAUGACAACUACUUUGACGUUAUGGGAGGAUCUUGCUGAGAAUGAAGGAAACUUUAUGGGAGUUCAAUGACAUCACAGUUAUAUAUGUGGCAAUCAACAUCUACAAAGGUCUGUCUCUUCAAACACAAAAAGGAUCUACAUUGCGGAUUAAUAUGGAUAUUGAAAGUGUCAAAGCAUUAAUAUAUUGAUUCGUUAUUUAUUGUAACUUCUUUUACAUUAUAUAUACACUAUUUGUAAAAAGAGAACAAGUUUUUUUUUUUUGUUUUAUUUAUUUAAUUAAUUAUUUUACAAGAUAAUUUAUAUGUGGACAGGUCCAAAGAGAAUAUAAAUAACAAAGAUAUAACAAGUUUGAUUUCCAGUACAAAAGAUCAAAAAUUCAAUAGUGCUGAAAAGUCAAACUUCAAGACA